This 478-nucleotide ribosomal RNA is filed under the name uncultured bacterium. RNAcentral describes it as "partial 16S ribosomal RNA". It matches the Rfam family "Bacterial small subunit ribosomal RNA", at positions 28 to 523 of the family's 1533-position model. The record is from RNAcentral.
GACGAACGCUGGCGGCGUGCUUAACACAUGCAAGUCGAACGGUAAGGCCCUUCGGGGUACACGAGUGGCGAACGGGUGAGUAACACGGGGGUGAUCUGCCCUGCACUUCGGGAUAAGCCUGGGAAACUGGGUCUAAUACCGGAUAGGACUCCUGGCUUCAUGGUUGGGGGUGGAAAGCUUUUGCGGUGUGGGAUGGGCCCGCGGCCUAUCAGCUUGUUGGUGGGGUAAUGGCCUACCAAGGCGACGACGGGUAGCCGGACUGAGAGGGUGACCGGUCACACUGGGACUGAGAUACGGCCCAGACUCCUACGGGAGGCAGCAGUGGGGAAUAUUGCACAAUGGGCGCAAGCCUGAUGCAGCGACGCCGCGUGAGGGAUGACGGCCUUCGGGUUGUAAACCUCUUUCAGCUAUGACGAAGCGCAAGUGACGGUAGUAGCAGAAGAAGGACCGGCCAACUACGUGCCAGCAGCCGCCGUAA